CACGCCGUAAACGAUGAAUACUAGGUGUAGGGGUUGUCAUGACCUCUGUGCCGCCGCUAACGCAUUAAGUAUUCCGCCUGGGGAGUACGGUCGCAAGAUUAAAACUCAAAGGAAUUGACGGGGGCCCGCACAAGCAGCGGAGCAUGUGGUUUAAUUCGAAGCAACGCGAAGAACCUUACCUAGACUUGACAUCUCCUGAAUUACUCUGUAAUGGAGGAAGCCACUUCGGUGGCAGGAAGACAGGUGG
This 247-nucleotide ribosomal RNA is filed under the name uncultured bacterium. RNAcentral's name for it is "partial 16S ribosomal RNA". It matches the Rfam family "Bacterial small subunit ribosomal RNA", at positions 796 to 1041 of the family's 1533-position model. The record is from RNAcentral.